AGCUUUGCGCAGUGGCAGUAUUGUAGCCAAUGAGGUUUAUCCGAGGCACGAUUAUUGCUAAUUGAAAGUGUAAGUCAUGAAAUUUC
This 86-nucleotide small nuclear RNA is filed under the name Canis lupus dingo (dingo). RNAcentral describes it as "U4 spliceosomal RNA (ENSCAFG00020004205.1)". The stretch from base 1 to 69 matches the Rfam family "U4 spliceosomal RNA". From Rfam's summary of the family: U4 small nuclear RNA (U4 snRNA) is a component of the major U2-dependent spliceosome. The structure of U4 snRNA from yeast and human has been reported. U4 snRNA presents a k-turn RNA motif in the 5p-SL related to recognition of Snu13 protein. Lineage: Eukaryota; Metazoa; Chordata; Mammalia; Carnivora; Canidae. The record is from RNAcentral.